UGUUUUAUAGUUUAUUUUAAAACAUUAAUUUUGUAAAUUAAAGAAAAAUUUUAUAUUUUAAAGCAA
This 66-nucleotide transfer RNA is filed under the name Tetramorium caespitum. Its description in RNAcentral is "tRNA-Thr". Lineage: Eukaryota; Metazoa; Arthropoda; Insecta; Hymenoptera; Formicidae. The record is from RNAcentral.